UCCCUGGUGGUCCAGUGGUUAAGAUUCUGCACUUCCAAUGCAGGGGGCAGAGGUUCAACCCCUGAUUGGGGAA
This 73-nucleotide transfer RNA is filed under the name Bos taurus (domestic cattle). It matches the Rfam family "tRNA". Rfam says of the family: Transfer RNA (tRNA) molecules are approximately 80 nucleotides in length. Their secondary structure includes four short double-helical elements and three loops (D, anti-codon, and T loops). Lineage: Eukaryota; Metazoa; Chordata; Mammalia; Artiodactyla; Bovidae. RNAcentral also lists the same sequence under 2 other names. The record is from Rfam by way of RNAcentral.